Molecule: ribosomal RNA, 384 nt
Filed under: uncultured eukaryote
Lineage: Eukaryota
Description: SSU rRNA
Rfam family: Eukaryotic small subunit ribosomal RNA
Source: RNAcentral
AGCUCCAAUAGCGUAUAUGAAAGUUGUUGCGGCUUAAAAGCUCGUAGUUGGAUUUCUGCUGAGGACGACCGGUCCGCCUUCUGGGUGAGCAUCUGGCUCGGCCUUGGCAUCUUCUUGGAGAACGUAGCUGCGCUUGAUUGUGUGGUGCGGUAUCCAAGACUUCUACUUUGAGGAAAUACGAGUGUUUCAAGCAGGCGCACGCCUUGUAUACAUUAGCACGGAAUAAUAAGAUAGGACCUCGUUUUUAUUUUGGUUGGUUUCUAGAGCUGAGGUAAUGAAUAAUAGGGAUAGUUGGGGGGGUGGCAUUCGUAUUCAAUUGUCAGAGGUGAAACUCUUGUAUUUGUGAAAGACGGACUACUGCGCAAGCAUUUGCCAAGGAAGUUU